UAAAUCAAAAUGAUUGAUCUGAGGGUACA
Molecule: non-coding RNA, 29 nt
Filed under: Mus musculus (house mouse)
Lineage: Eukaryota; Metazoa; Chordata; Mammalia; Rodentia; Muridae
Source: RNAcentral